This 893-nucleotide long non-coding RNA is filed under the name Musa acuminata (dwarf banana). Its description in RNAcentral is "long non-coding RNA (MACU_LNC011426)". Lineage: Eukaryota; Viridiplantae; Streptophyta; Magnoliopsida; Zingiberales; Musaceae. The record is from RNAcentral.
GAAGAAGGGAGGGCUCAAGGCGCCGCAGCCCAAUUUCGUAGGGAUCGCUGCUGGUGCUUACCACAGCCUUGCCUUGCGAGGUUCUCAUCGUUCAAUCUCUCUUCUCUUCUUUCAGUUCUGAUCAUCAUCAUCAUCAUCAUCAUCAUCAUCAUCAUCAUCAUCAUUUUAAAUAAUUGACAAUAUUACUGGUGUUUGAUGAAGAUUCUGCUAUAAACUUGGCACUAAUUCUAGUGUUUUAUGGAAAUUCUACCAAAAGCAAUAUCGAAGUUGUUAUUGUUAUCAAUGGAUCAAAAAACAUAAUUUAGAACGGUGCUCCAUGGGCUUCUCCUGAGAUUAUCUCAACCAUUACCUAUUCAUGGCUGCUUGAUCAGAUGUGAAUUACUUCUGGAUGGUAAAAUCGAGCAUCGAAACUUGCUAGUUUCUUCAUAUGCUAUCCACGUCCUUUCUAGGUUACAUCAAGACGUGUACUGUAAGCGCUUACCCCUUUAUAAGACCUUACAAUCAACUGGGGCUUAAUCCUGCUAAUGUUGCCUUUGAUCACUUAUGUAAUCAUUAGAUUUGUUCUAGAGCAAGUCAUUAAAAAUUUGUAUAAUUUUGAACAUUAUUUAGUUGGUCUGUAGGUUGGGUGCUGAAAGCAUACUCUCUGCAGGCACUUCUCUGGCACUACUGACAUCUAUGACUGACUAUGAUAGAUUAUGAGCUUAAAAUAUUUAUCAUGCCUCCCUUUUCUUUCAGCCUUAAUUUAUACCACUUUUAGUUUAAAGAUAUGAUAGCUUGGCUGGCAAUUCUGGUUCGCCAUCUUCCACUUAUUUUCGUCAUUUCCAUGAAACUAAACUCCUGUUUUUGGUGAAGAAUUGACACAGAUGGGAACCUUAUUGUCAGUCAAUGCCUCC